Molecule: long non-coding RNA, 881 nt
Filed under: Astyanax mexicanus (Mexican tetra)
Lineage: Eukaryota; Metazoa; Chordata; Actinopteri; Characiformes; Acestrorhamphidae
Description: lncRNA (ENSAMXG00005004951.1)
Source: RNAcentral
CUUUACUCUUCCCUUAUUUGAGCUGACAGCGCAGUCAGUCUCCUAUGCGCUCUUAAAAUAUGAAUGAACAGAAGUCAAAGCGCACCUGUCUUAUAAAGGGAAUGGUAGGUGACACACUGAUUGGUUUAUUUCACGUUACACCCAAAACACACCUAUGAAAAUUAAGAGAAUUAAAACACGCCGUUGGAGCUGCGUAAGGCGUAAUUUUUGUGCCCUUUAGGACACAGGACACGCCCCUAAAUCCAGCUGCGCAAAGUGCUAUUAACUAGUGCGCUAUAGAUCACUAAAAUAGGGCCCUUGGUGUAUAAUGUCUUGGUGUCAAAAGUGUUGUAAGAAGGAAUGGCAAUGUUACAAAGUGUGAUGCAAUGUGUUGCAGGCCUAAAGUGCAGGAGUGGACGUAUAUAAACAAAUUACAAAUGUGACAGAUAAAACAUACUGUCUGCAGUGAUAGUUUACCAUUAUUCUUUAAACAUCAUUGUUUCUUGAAAAACCGUCAACACAAAACUACAUGCAUCUCUCACUUUUAGAAGUGUUUUCCUGAUUGUUUUCAUUGUCAUUCUUUGAUCUUUUUUUACUCAGAUCGUGGAUGCCUUGUUCCAUCUGUUCAGCAUGAAGCGACCAGGUAUACUAGCAAUCAAUGCUCAUACUCUGUCUCAUAUUCUUGAUGGGGGAGCAAGGGCAAGGAGCCAUUAUUUUAUCAAGAGGAACAUCUUUAAAAACACAAGGGAGGUUGUUGGUCCUUACUUGGAACACGGGAAUGACUGGACUUUUUUUCACUGCAGUUUUGUAGAUCGUACUAUAACAUAUCUCAAUUCGCUUGGGGAACAGGAUCAGCAAUAUGAUCAAAUUAAAAACAACUGGAGCACAUUUGCUGCAGCAAA